Cornus florida is the source of this 3440-nucleotide long non-coding RNA. RefSeq lists it as uncharacterized. The record is from RefSeq and is a predicted model, not a curated record. Lineage: Eukaryota; Viridiplantae; Streptophyta; Magnoliopsida; Cornales; Cornaceae. The transcript has 3 exons.
UUAUUUUUUCAAGAUCCUUUUUACAAAUUCCAAUUUAUUCUUAAUGUGCAUAUAGAAUUUUAGUUUAACUACAAUCCAUUUACAGUUGCUUCUGCUCUCUCUUCGGUUUCAAUCUCCCUAUAGUAUAGUAGUAUUCUCCUUUUUUUGUUUUUUUUUUUUUUAAGUGAUUUGAAGAGUUGUCAACUCUAGAAUUUCAUUACCUCUACAAAUUAUAUACAUUUUCCUUCGCGCUGGCACUGCCUCCUUUGUCACCAAGGCAUACGGUUUGGAUUUUUUUAAUCGAUUCAUGUUCGGUCGAAAAAUUAAAUGGCCUUUUCUUUUUUUUUUUUCUUUUUUUUCUGUCUGUCCUUGAAUCAUGUUCUUGUUACUUAAUUUUAUUGAAAAUUAGGUUCUUUGAUACAUUGAUGGAGCUACAUGCAAGUCGGGGCAAUUUCUUCCCUAAAUUUAUAGUUAGAAGGUUAUAUGCUCAUUAUGCUUCAACCUUUUUUAUAAAGAAAUAAUACAUAUAACAUAGCAAUCAUUAUUUUAAUUUUACCUACGGAUGCAAGAAUUUAACGUUGGCUAACCCUCCUCCUGUUCAACCUGCCAAAGUCCCAUCCUUAAUUAAUCCAUAUGCAUGCUACAUAAAAAUGUACAAAAUCAAGCCCCAGAGGGCCAGUUCCAUGGUCAGAUACAAUCAUUCAACAAAGACAAGCCCUGGUCCUAACUAGAGUAGCCCAACCCAGCAAUCAAAAACGAGCACGAUGAGACAUUGCCACCAAAUCAGAAACAGAGCAUCGGGAUAUAGGAUUGGGAUUAUGUAGUUUGGCUAGUACCAUGGUAGAAUGCAUGGUAGGUAUGCAAGGCCUGCAAGAGGUGAGAUGGGACCAAUUCACUUGAAGAAGAUGGGGGUAGGGUUAAUUGAGGAAGGGACCAAAUCAAAGAAUCUGAGAGCUGAGGAUCAAGAUCAAAGCUAGGCAGUAUCUGAUGGUUGCUGAGCUCAGGAAUUAAUCUGACAACUUCCCCAGGUACGUUCCAAGACCCAUUACAUUAGCAAUCACAUCUUUUAACUGUUGCUGCCACAAGCUCCAAUUGAAGAACUUGAAAGAAAUUUGACCCAGAUCAGUCUUAAAAUGUAAAUGGGCCCCAAUAGGACUCCAAUUAUCAAACCAGAGUUUCGUGGAAGAACCAUCACAAAUCUUUGUGCUUAAUAAGAGAGUUGACAAUAGGGUUUAUAUUCAGCAGGUAUCUCCAAUUCCAAUAUCAAUUUUGAGGGAUCUUUAUGGUCCAAAUGGGCCUAUCCUUGAUUAGAUUUGUUCAUCCCAGGAAGUUUAGGCAACACAAUCCACCAGAGAGCUUGGGAUAACAUAUGUUGGACCUCUGAGUCUGUGUGAAUGGCCAUGAGAUUUGAAAGAAGUUGAGAAGGAACUGAUUGAAUAAUGAAAUAGAGGGAUGUAUGAAUUACCUGGGAAUUGGUGGGGGUCCUUGCCUUAAACAUUUUGGAAGUAUUGGAGAAUCUCACCUUCCACUAAAUCUCCAUUAUCAAGCUUCCUGGCUAUAUUUGCCACCCCAUACUCUUAUUAUUCCAUGUAUAGAAGAGGCCACUGUAUCUCAAAUCUUCAAUACCUGCAUCAUGCAAGCAUUUACUGAACUGAGUUAUAGCAGCAGAUAUUCUAUUAGAACCCCCAUGAGUUUCACUAGGCCCCUUGAUUGCAUUGAAAUCGCCAAAAAUUAUCCAGGGGAUUGUAAAACAGAUUGAAGAAUGCUGGAUUAGGUUACUCCAGAGAGAUUUUCUCUUCACUGCUGAAAAGGAGACAAAAUACCAUUGGCAUUUUUUUUUUUUCCCCAAAAAUUUGGUGACUAACUUUAGUGAUUACUCGUGUCAGGGGUACCCUUGACUCUGAGUUGGAUGAUGACGAAAUUUUUUCUAGAAGCUGCUCAACAUUUCUUGAAAAUGGAAUGCCCAUACCAGAGCUUAUACACCAUUACACUGCCAUUAUAUGUAUCUAUGUAUCUAUAUAUAUAUGAAGAAUGGCUAAAGCAAGUUCCUUCCCGUUCUUGCUAUGCAAUCUUGUAUCUUUUUAAUUUAUGUGUUAAGAAAUAAGAUGUUGGCAUACUGAUGGAAGAGCUUUUAUGAGGACGGAGAUCGUCUACGGUGUCACCGAGAUGAGAGGUCCCCGUUACACCUUCUUAAGCCAAAACCUCCUUCAGUAGAGAAGCAAACGAGUUCCAAACUGUAUUGUCAAAAGUGCAAGUGAGAAAAAGAUAAUCAGAAUCUCCCCAGCAAUUGUGACAGAUUGAGACUAUUCUGAAAUGCUAGAGCCUAGUUCACAAGCACAACCUUCACUCAACCUUAACCCUUAGGGCCAAGUUACCACUCACUUCCACCUUCACGGUUAAAUUCAACCUUCACAGUAGCUUCGCAUUUUCUGGCUUGACUGGGUAUGUGGUGGUGGAAUGAGCGAGAAUAUAAGAGAGAAAAUGAGAGAAUUAGGCUUUGUUUGGGACCAAAGGUUUUAUACACUUGAAUUUUCCUCCCAAAUACCAUGAGAAGAACAAAUUUUAAAUAAAAAAAAAAAAAAAAAGUUUAACUUAGAACAAAUUUAAAUAAAAAAAAAACAGUUUAACUUGGAGCCUUGCAACUCCUUACCUUAAGAAAUCUUUAUAGACUAUAGUUUCCCUUAAAAUGUACCAAACUAAACCUUAAAGGUGCCAUAUUUCAUUCAGGAUGCACUCUAGAACUGAGCAUACGCCGCAUCCCCAUAUCAAGUACCAAUAGUUGUUGGAAAGAUUUGAGACUUUUGGGCGGAUGUACGCUCUGAAUACUGGAUAAGGAAGAUGACUCGAUGACUAUAGAUUGUCAAGAGAGAUAUGAGAAGAGAGUCAAGUCCAUGUACUCGAUGGGCUGUUACUUUUUGCCCUCAGAAAUAGUAGAGGAUGUAGAUCUUUUGAUCAGAAGGGCUGAGAGAUGCUUGCUAGCCGACAUGAUAAUGAUUGAUGCCGAUGAUGCCUGCAAGGAUGAUUAUUCUGUAUGGUAAACAUUAUUGCAAAGAUUGUCGGGCGUCUUGGUCUUGAGAAGACAAUGUUUGAAGCAUCAAAUUCCAAACCCUCUGUUUGGUUUAUUAGACAAUAUGGUCCCAGGGUGAACCUUCUUGUGGAUCACUCUCAAGUGAUGGAUCUGGAAUGUGUUCGAGGUUGCAACCUUGGUAAAAAUCACACAUCUGUUCUUGGUUUGUCCGCAGUGGAACUGGUUAUGCUAAACUGGCGCCAAAUAUAUAUAGUCCGCAGUGGAACUGUUUAUGCUUUGUAAUUGUCCUGUGUUAUUUUGUAUGUGUUUGCCUUUGUUCAUAUAUAAUUUUUACUUCUGUAUUAGUACUCUUAUUUGCUCUUAGUAACAUCUUCAUGUUAUUGCAAACCAUGUAGAUUUAAUCUGUAACAUAACCUUUUGUUUCCAUAGUUGA